GAUCAGGGCAUGUUUAGAAGAACUCGGAUCAAAGCCAUUCUUUUUGAAAACAAACGAAUCAAAAGAUUUUCUAGCACAAAAAACAGUUUCUUUCAAAUCAAGCUCAAGAGAUUUUUCAAAACGAUCAAAGCCUUUGCUAUGCUUUAAGAACUGAUCAAAACUCAAGAUUAUUCCAGAAUUGAUGCCGUUUUCUUUUUGAAAACGUGGUUGAUCAAGAAGUUCAUCAGGUUCAAAGAUUUUAAAAGAAUUAAUUAUUCUUUCAAAAACAGAUUUUGAAACACAAAAAUCUUUCACAUUUUCAAGACCAAAACGAAUCACAUCAAGAGAGCUGAUCUUAACAAACAUAUCAGGCUGAGAAUUAAGCAAAUUAGAUUGCUCACAGUGCGCUUGAAGUUAAAAAGACAAAGGGGCAGGAGUUGUGCCGGGAUCAAAGCAAAGAUGGCUCUCCAUAGCGAUGGAUGUGAU
This 465-nucleotide long non-coding RNA is filed under the name Brassica napus (rape). Its description in RNAcentral is "long non-coding RNA (BNAP_LNC008815)". Lineage: Eukaryota; Viridiplantae; Streptophyta; Magnoliopsida; Brassicales; Brassicaceae. The record is from RNAcentral.